UUAAAUUGAAGAGUUUGAUCAUGGCUCAGAUUGAACGCUGGCGGCAGGCCUAACACAUGCAAGUCGAACGGUAACAGAAAGAAGCUUGCUUCUUUGCUGACGAGUGGCGGACGGGUGAGUAAUGUCUGGGAAACUGCCUGAUGGAGGGGGAUAACUACUGGAAACGGUAGCUAAUACCGCAUAACGUCGCAAGACCAAAGAGGGGGACCUUCGGGCCUCUUGCCAUCGGAUGUGCCC
This 237-nucleotide ribosomal RNA is filed under the name Escherichia sp. E3356. RNAcentral describes it as "partial 16S ribosomal RNA". It matches the Rfam family "Bacterial small subunit ribosomal RNA", at positions 1 to 232 of the family's 1533-position model. Lineage: Bacteria; Pseudomonadati; Pseudomonadota; Gammaproteobacteria; Enterobacterales; Enterobacteriaceae. The record is from RNAcentral.